Molecule: ribosomal RNA, 490 nt
Filed under: uncultured bacterium
Lineage: Bacteria
Description: partial 16S ribosomal RNA
Rfam family: Bacterial small subunit ribosomal RNA
Source: RNAcentral
AUUGAACGCUGGCGGCAGGCCUAACACAUGCAAGUCGAACGGUAACAGGAAGAAGCUUGCUUCUUUGCUGACGAGUGGCGGACGGGUGAGUAAUGUCUGGGAAACUGCCUGAUGGAGGGGGAUAACUACUGGAAACGGUAGCUAAUACCGCAUAACGUCGCAAGACCAAAGAGGGGGGCCUUCGGGCCUCUUGCCAUCGGAUGUGCCCAGAUGGGAUUAGCUAGUAGGUGGGGUAACGGCUCACCUAGGCGACGAUCCCUAGCUGGUCUGAGAGGAUGACCAGCCAUACUGGAACUGAGACACGGUCCAGACUCCUACGGGAGGCAGCAGUGGGGAAUAUUGCACAAUGGGCGCAAGCCUGAUGCAGCCAUGCCGCGUGUAUGAAGAAGGCCUUCGGGUUGUAAAGUACUUUCAGCGGGGAGGAAGGGAGUAAAGUUAAUACCUUUGCUCAUUGACGUUACCCGCAGAAGAAGCACCGGCUAACUCCGUG